UGUAGCUGGGAAAGCACAGCGUCCCUGACCCCAGGUCCUCGGUAAGCCCCAGGUCUGACGCUGGCAGCGGCCUCUGACUUGGGAGUGACUUCCUCACAUCAAGAAGCGGGAGCCCAGAGAGGCUGGCAGUGCCAGGUUCAAACUUAGAGCCAUGGGCUCCCAGUCCUUUCAACUGGGUUCUUUCUCACACGUGGAGCCGCCUACAGGUUCCUGUGUCAUCUAAUUUUCAGGUGGACUCGGGAACAAGGACGGGCUGAAUUCAGCUACCGCCUCAUUUAAUGUGGAGCCGUCAUUCAGGACGUGUGUCUCCAUCGGAGACAAAGCCAGCCUUCCUGUGCGUGGCAUAGCGGGAGCCCCAGUCUACAUAACUGACUCCAGCAAUUUCCUCUCCUAACCACACCUGCCACUCUCCUCCCUACCCUGAAAGUAAUAGGACUCAGCUUCCACAGCCACCACGCCGUUCACACCACCUUUAUGUCAAGAGGGUCACAGCAUCCCAGGGAGGUCAGCAGGGAAGGUCCCAGCAUCCCCAUCACACAGAGGAGGAAGCUGAGGCCAGGAGGGCGUCUGGCCGGUUCAAGAUUACAAAAUCUUCCCAGGGCAAGAACCUGCAUCUUCUCUAUUCUAGAUGGAGUUUCGUUCUUGUUGCCCAGGCUGGAGUGCAAUGGCAUGAUGUCAGCUCACCGCAACCUCCACCUCCCAGAUUCAAGCGACUCUCCUGCCUCAGCCCCCCUAGUAGCUGAGAUUACAGGCAUGCGCCACCACGCCAGGCUAAUUUUUUGUAUUUUUAGUACAGACCGGGUUUCUCCAUGUUGGUCAGGCUGGUCUCGAAUUCCCGACCUCAGGUGAUCCACUCGCCUCGGCGUCCCAAACUGCUGGGAUUACAGACAUGAGCUACCACGCAGGUGAUUUUUAUACAUAUGGCUAAGCACACUCAGAUCUUCAGAACUAAAGCCAAUGAACAUUAAAAUGGAAUACCAUGUUUAACUAUUGAGCUGGUAAAGACUUAUUUUUUAUAAAGUAAUAUCCUAUGUCAGGGAGGGUAUAGUGAAAGGAACAUUUCCUAUACUAUCAAUUUCAAAGUCAAUUAACACAGUCUUGCUCCAGAAAACUUUGUCAAUAUUUAGCAACUGUCUUAACAUUGCUUAUGCAAAGUGAUCCAGUAAUUCAUAUGAAUAAAUCACCCUAAGGAAAUAGCUGGAGACAUGAACAAAAAUAUGUAAAAUGAUAUUCACUGCAGCAUUGUUAAUGAUAUAAAUAAAGAAAUAUUCUAAAUACCCAACAAUAGAAGGAUUAGCCAAAUGAUGCAUGUCUCAGCUGAAUGGUGAGAUAUAAUAUGUCAUUAAAAUCAUAUUUAGAAAGGUAUUAGUAACACGAGAGAAAAGCUUGCAAUAUAUUGUUACAACAGACUGAAAUGGCCUCAGUUCUUCCAUCUCAGCAUACACCAAUGAGCCCUGGUCUCCUCAGGGCUGGAUAUACUUUCCACCCCUCUGACUUUUGGCUCAACCCUGUUGAUUUGCUUGGAAACUUAAAAUUUCCAAAGUGACUUGCUUUGGCCCAUGACAGGUAGGU
RNAcentral lists this long non-coding RNA (1572 nucleotides) under Homo sapiens (human). RNAcentral describes it as "HSALNT0371553". Lineage: Eukaryota; Metazoa; Chordata; Mammalia; Primates; Hominidae. The record is from RNAcentral.